This 66-nucleotide transfer RNA is filed under the name Potthastia gaedii. Its description in RNAcentral is "tRNA-Asn". The record is from RNAcentral. Lineage: Eukaryota; Metazoa; Arthropoda; Insecta; Diptera; Chironomidae.
UUAAUUGAAGCCAAAUUAGAGGCUUAUCACUGUUAAUGAUAGAAUUGAGAAAUAUCUCCAAUUAAG